RNAcentral lists this long non-coding RNA (1392 nucleotides) under Oncorhynchus mykiss (rainbow trout). RNAcentral's name for it is "lncRNA (ENSOMYG00000057083.1)". Lineage: Eukaryota; Metazoa; Chordata; Actinopteri; Salmoniformes; Salmonidae. The record is from RNAcentral.
AUGUGGAGGCUAUAUACAGGGUCAAUGUGGAGGCUAUAUACAGGGGGUACUGGUACAGUCAAUGUGAAGGCUAUAUACAGGGGGUACUGGUACAGAGUCAAUGUGGAGGCUAUAUACAGGGUCAAUGUGGAGGCUAUAUACAGGGGGUACUGGUACAGAGUCAAUGUGGAGGCUAUAUACAGGGUCAAUGUGGAGGCUAUAUACAGGGGGUACUGGUACAGUCAAUGUGAAGGCUAUAUACAGGGGGUACUGGUACAGAGUCAAUGUGGAGGCUAUAUACAGGGGGUACCGGUACAGAGUCAAUGUGGAGGCUAUAUACAUGGGGUACUGGUACAGAGUCAAUGUGGAGGCUAUAUACAGGGGGUACUGGUACAGAGUCAAUGUGGAGGCUAUAUACAGGGGGUACCGGUACAGAGUCAAUGUGGAGACUAUAUACAGGGGGUACUGGUACAGAGUCAAUGUGGAGGCUAUAUACAGAGGGUACCGGUACAGAGUCAAUGUGGAGACUAUAUACAGGGGGUACUGGUACAGAGUCAAUGUGGAGGUUAUAUACAGGGGGUACUGGUACAGAGUCAAUGUGGAGGCUAUAUACAGGGGGUACCGGUACAGAGUCAAUGUGGAGGCUAUAUACAGGGGGUACUGGUACAGAGUCAAUGUGGAGGCUAUAUACAGGGGGUACCGGUACAGAGUCAAUGUGGAGGCUAUAUACAGGGGGUACUGGUACAGAGUCAAUGUGGAGGAUAUAUACAGGGGGUACUGGUACAGAGUCAAUGUGAAGGCUAUAUACAGGGGGUACUGGUACAGAGUCAAUGUGAAGGCUAUAUACAGGGGGUACUGGUACAGAGUCAAUGUGGAGGCUAUAUACAGGGGGUACUGGUACAGAGUCAAUGUGGAGGCUAUAUACAGGGGGUACUGGUACAGAGUCAAUGUGGAGGCUAUAUACAGGGGGUACCGGUACAGAGUCAAUGUGGAGGCUAUAUACAGGGGGUACUGGUACAGAGUCAAUGUGGAGGCUAUAUACAGGGGGUACCGGUACAGAGUCAAUGUGGAGGCUAUAUACAGGGGGUACCGGUACAGAGUCAAUGUGGAGGCUAUAUACAGGGGGUACUGGUACAGAGUCAAUGUGGAGGCUAUAUACAGAGGGUACUGGUACAGAGUCAAUGUGGAGGCUAUAUACAGGGGAUACUGGUACAGAGUCAAUGUGGAGGCUAUAUACAGGGGGUACUGGUACAGAGUCAAUGUGGAGACUAUAUACAGGGGGUACCAGUACAGAGUCAAUGUGGAGGCUAUAUACAGGGGAUACUGGUACCGAGUCAAUGUGGAGACUAUAUACAGGGGAUACUGGUACCGAGUCAAUGUGCGAGGGUACAGGUUAGUCAAGAUAAUUUGUAA